GAAUUGUCUAAUUCUAAAAAAAUGUCCAAAAAAUAUUGUUCUUAUAGCUACCGAGAACUUUAAUAUCUCUAAUAAUCUCUAGUACAUAUCUGUAGCAAGUUCCAGUCACGUGCUGCAGCAACUUUAAACUUAGUUUACCCUGGUAAGGUGUUUACUCUUGGUAUGUCUAUCAAGGUUUGAUCGCGGAGAUAAUUAGGAAUGUCCAUAUUAUUGACAAUUUUAAAAACUAGAAUGUUCCUUAGAAAUCGUCGUCUGCUGUGUAGAGUUAAGAGGCCAAGACGAGUCCGCAUUUCGUGCGCACAGGUUGUUUCUAUCAGCACUCAAUAUUGUUCUCAUAGAUUUAUUUUGAAUUUUUUCAACUCGAUUAGAGAGAACAGACCCGCAAUCCAGCCACAUGAUUGAACCGUAUAAAGAAAUACAUUUUCGGUGUUGACAUUGAGUUAAUUAUGUCAACACGGCUCUUAG
Non-coding RNA from Paramuricea clavata, 465 nucleotides. NCBI's taxonomy places the organism in Eukaryota, Metazoa, Cnidaria, Anthozoa, Malacalcyonacea, Plexauridae. The record is from the annotation of a GenBank genome assembly.